GCCCGGGUGGUGGAAUUGGUAGACACAAGGGACUUAAAAUCCCUCGGCUUUUAGUUGUACGAGUUCGAGUCUCGUCCCGGGUA
Molecule: transfer RNA, 83 nt
Filed under: Candidatus Blochmannia vicinus (nom. nud.)
Lineage: Bacteria; Pseudomonadati; Pseudomonadota; Gammaproteobacteria; Enterobacterales; Enterobacteriaceae
Description: Candidatus Blochmannia vicinus tRNA-Leu
Rfam family: tRNA
About the family: Transfer RNA (tRNA) molecules are approximately 80 nucleotides in length.
Source: RNAcentral